This 411-nucleotide ribosomal RNA is filed under the name Acanthoscelides obtectus. RNAcentral's name for it is "partial small subunit ribosomal RNA". The record is from RNAcentral. Lineage: Eukaryota; Metazoa; Arthropoda; Insecta; Coleoptera; Chrysomelidae.
ACUAGGGAUUAGAUAACCUAUUAUUAAAAAUGUAAAUUUUUUUACUUAAUUAGUAUUAGUUAUGUUCUUGAAAAUUAAAAAAUUUGGCGGUAUUUUAGUCUUUUCAGAGGAACCUGUUCUAUAAUCGAUAGUCCACGAUUAGAUGCACUUUAUUUAUUAGUUUAUAUAUCGUCGUAGUUUAAAUAUUUUAAUAGAAUUAUAAAUAUUUAAAAUUUUUUAUUAAAAAAUAAAUCAGAUCAAGGUGUAGUUUAUAAUAAAGAAGAAAUGGGUUACAAUAAAUUUAUUUUAAAAUAAUUUUUGUUAAAAAAAUUUGAAUUUGGAUUUGAGAGUAAUUUUUUAGAUUUUUUUAAGAUGAUUAAAGCUCUAAAAUAUGUACAUAUCGCCCGUCGCUUUCAUUUUAAAAUGAAAUAA